Long non-coding RNA from Bombyx mori (domestic silkworm), 265 nucleotides. RefSeq lists it as uncharacterized. The transcript is spliced from 2 exons. NCBI's taxonomy places the organism in Eukaryota, Metazoa, Arthropoda, Insecta, Lepidoptera, Bombycidae. The record is from RefSeq and is a predicted model, not a curated record.
UCUGAAAAAAAUACUAAUAAUUAAACAUUUUAAUAACAAUGUGUAUAUAUGCUUACAAUAUUAAUUUUGAUUAAUGGAAAUUUCCUCAAUGAUUUUUUUGUCCUUCCCUGUUAUUUAUUAUGGAAAAGGAGACUGAAAUACCUACUUGCACAAAAUCGUUGCCACAAAACACGAUAACACGGAUAUUAAUCGAAUUAUAAUGGAUAUAAGUGUAAAUGCGAACACUUAAACAAAUACAAUGAUUAAACCUAUUUUAAAAUCUAAA